UACGUAGGGUGCGAGCGUUGUCCGGAAUUAUUGGGCGUAAAGAGCUCGUAGGCGGUGUGUCACGUCGGCCGUGAAAACCUGCAGCUUAACUGUGGGCGUGCGGUCGAUACGGGCAUCACUGGAGUUCGGCAGGGGAGACUGGAAUUCCUGGUGUAGCGGUGAAAUGCGCAGAUAUCAGGAGGAACACCGGUGGCGAAGGCGGGUCUCUGGGCAAUAACUGACGCUGAGGAGCGAAAGCGUGGGGGAGCGAACAGG
RNAcentral lists this ribosomal RNA (255 nucleotides) under uncultured bacterium. RNAcentral's name for it is "partial 16S ribosomal RNA". It matches the Rfam family "Bacterial small subunit ribosomal RNA", at positions 524 to 776 of the family's 1533-position model. The record is from RNAcentral.